AAAACUCGUACCUAAUUUUUAACCGCUUCGGAUUUUACGAUUCAAAAGUUUAAAUUCCCAAAACGGACUAUCGUACAACAAUUUCAAACGGACUGCACUCCUAAAUUAUUGUAUUCCGUAUACGAGCAUACGCAUAAAUCUUGCAUUGUUUUGACGCUGACGAAUUUAGUAGCCCGCACAUGUAUUAGUGAAAAAAACUUUAACUCUCUCUUUGCAGUUUGUCGCUCUUGGGGGAGGGAAAAAAU
Cinara cedri is the source of this 245-nucleotide non-coding RNA. The record is from the annotation of a GenBank genome assembly. NCBI's taxonomy places the organism in Eukaryota, Metazoa, Arthropoda, Insecta, Hemiptera, Aphididae.